Molecule: ribosomal RNA, 460 nt
Filed under: uncultured bacterium
Lineage: Bacteria
Description: partial 16S ribosomal RNA
Rfam family: Bacterial small subunit ribosomal RNA
Source: RNAcentral
CCUACGGGAGGCAGCAGUGAGGAAUAUUGGUCAAUGGACGAGAGUCUGAACCAGCCAAGUAGCGUGAAGGAUGACUGCCCUAUGGGUUGUAAACUUCUUUUAUAUGGGAAUAAAACAGGGUAUGCAUACCCUCUUGUAUGUACCAUAUGAAUAAGGAUCGGCUAACUCCGUGCCAGCAGCCGCGGUAAUACGGAGGAUCCGAGCGUUAUCCGGAUUUAUUGGGUUUAAAGGGAGCGUAGGUGGAUUGUUAAGUCAGUUGUGAAAGUUUGCGGCUAAACCGUAAAAUUGCAGUUGAAACUGGCAGUCUUGAGUACAGUAGAGGUGGGCGGAAUUCGUGGUGUAGCGGUGAAAUGCUUAGAUAUCACGAAGAACUCCGAUUGCGAAGGCAGCUUACUGGACUGCAACUGACACUGAUGCUCGAAAGUGUGGGUAUCAAACAGGAUUAGAUACCCUGGUAGUC